CCUUCUAGCUCUGCAGUUCUGAGAUUAUUAUCAUUAAGAUGAUUAUUUACAAAGUCUAAAGAAACCUUUUAUAUCUCCUUCCAGUUUCGGAGCACAGUUGGGAGCGGCGAUACCCCAUCCGUCCAAGCCAAAAAAAAAAUAAACACCUCUGGCUGGCGAAGAUCUGUGGCUGAAGGAACCAUAAAAAGCAGCUACCAGGAUUUCUGCUCACGUGCUCCUGUGCUGAAGUAAGAUAGCAAUACAAAAAAAACCUCACAAGACGCAUGGGAACUGCAACAAAAUGUUGCAGCGUGACUCGGUUUGUGUUCAGUGUUCAAGCCCACCCCACUAGCUAUGCCUUUCUCGGCAGA
RNAcentral lists this long non-coding RNA (350 nucleotides) under Pogona vitticeps (central bearded dragon). RNAcentral describes it as "lncRNA (ENSPVIG00000021771.1)". Lineage: Eukaryota; Metazoa; Chordata; Lepidosauria; Squamata; Agamidae. The record is from RNAcentral.